UCUCCGGGUCUGAGUUUGGUGGCUCUGGCCCCGGACCUCGUUCUCUCACUGUGACUCCCCUCCUUUCUCCGUGGCCGUUUUUGUCUCUGCAGUUCGAAACCUCGCGCACACUCUGUCUCCCUCCUUGCCCGCACACAUACUCUGUGUCUGUCUCUCCCGCCACGUCUCCCGCCUUCUCUCUGGGUCCCUGUGACUGGCUUUUUGGUUUUUUCUGUUGUCCAUCCCAAAAUCAAGAGAAACUUCCAGCCACUGCUGCCCACCCUCCUGCAGGGGAUGCUCUGCCCCAGACCUGCCCGCAUGGUUCCGUCCAUCACUCAUGGCCUCCUCCUGGCUCCACUGGCCUCCCGCAGAGAGAGGGAGCCAGCCUGCCUCCCAGGGCCAGAGCUCCAGCCUCCCACGUGGCCACCUCCCUGGAGUUCUGCCCAGCUGUCAGCCUGCCCUGGGCAUCCCUGCUCUGGGCAUGUCUUGUGUGCUUCCCAAGCCCCAGGGAGAGUGGGGGAAGGACGGCGGAGGCAGCUGGGGCAAGGGAAAGAGGGAGGAAGGGGAGGGGCCUCCAUGUCUAAUUUCAUAAUAAACAAACACUUUAUUUUGUAAA
This is a long non-coding RNA of Carlito syrichta (Philippine tarsier), 595 nucleotides long. RefSeq lists it as uncharacterized. The record is from RefSeq and is a predicted model, not a curated record. NCBI's taxonomy places the organism in Eukaryota, Metazoa, Chordata, Mammalia, Primates, Tarsiidae. The transcript is spliced from 2 exons.